RNAcentral lists this ribosomal RNA (496 nucleotides) under uncultured bacterium. RNAcentral's name for it is "partial 16S ribosomal RNA". It matches the Rfam family "Bacterial small subunit ribosomal RNA", at positions 30 to 523 of the family's 1533-position model. The record is from RNAcentral.
AUUGAACGCUGGCGGCAGGCCUAACACAUGCAAGUCGAGCGGGAUUUACCUUCGGGUAAUGAGAGCGGCGGACGGGUGAGUAAUGCUUGGGAAUCUACCUAGUAGUGGGGGACAACAGUUGGAAACGACUGCUAAUACCGCAUACGCCCUACGGGGGAAAGGGGGGGAUCUUCGGACCUCUUGCUGUUAGAUGAGCCCAAGUCGGAUUAGCUAGUUGGUGGGGUAAAGGCCUACCAAGGCGACGAUCCGUAGCUGGUUUGAGAGGAUGAUCAGCCACGCUGGGACUGAGAACCGGCCCAGACUCCUACGGGAGGCAGCAGUGGGGAAUAUUGGACAAUGGGCGCAAGCCUGAUCCAGCAAUGCCGCGUGUGUGAAGAAGGCCUUAGGGUUGUAAAGCACUUUAAGCAGGGAGGAAGGUCUGGUAAUUAAUACUUAUCAGGAUUGACGUUACCUACAGAAUAAGCACCGGCUAACUCCGUGCCAGCAGCCGCUGUAA